GGGUUUUGACUGUGUACUUGAUUGUAGAUAGUCUAAUUGGUUGUUGAAAGUGUUGAUUCGAUUUAGCCUUGUCGACGACACGAAUAGUAUUCAGAGUACUGGGCAACAGGCUCUCACGACGACCACGAUGAACAAAUGACUAAGAAAGGUUGAUGAUGAGACUCAUGUAGUUACACAGCCGUUGGCAGCUUCAAAUUCCAUUGCUCCAUCAAUAUCAAAUGUUGUAGUGAACUACCCAGGUAUUGCAGUAUGAUUCCAACCACCGAUGCCACCCCCAUCAACGUGUCAUAGCAUGUUGGAUGUAUAGCGCCGCUCAGUCCACGAUUGCUAGAGAAAUGCACACAAAAGAUAUCAGAUUUGGACCAGCAGCAAUACACAGG
Olea europaea var. sylvestris is the source of this 380-nucleotide long non-coding RNA. RefSeq lists it as uncharacterized. The transcript has 3 exons. The record is from RefSeq and is a predicted model, not a curated record. NCBI's taxonomy places the organism in Eukaryota, Viridiplantae, Streptophyta, Magnoliopsida, Lamiales, Oleaceae.